AGACCACCCACCAAUCUGCCAUAUUCUGCUGUCUCUGCUGUACCAUUUAGGAGCUGUACCAUUGAGUUCCCCACGGAGACAUGUUCAAGUGUCCAGGGCAGAAGGAAUAUUUCUGUACCUUAGCUGUCUGCUGCAGUGCUUGUGAAAAGCAUCCUGAACAGGGAUAUGGUGGCCCACGUGUCUGGAUGUUCUUAUGCAGCUGGAAAAUGGAAGAAUAAGGGCUAAGAACAUCUGACAGAGGAAAGGCAAAGCACCAAGCUUGCCUGGAUACCAGCUGAGGAUUAGUAGUGGUUGCUCCUCUAAUGAAUUUGUCUGUCAAAGUCUGUGGCAGUAAGGAAGGAAAAGCAUGAAAGUGAAAUGAAGCUUGCUGGCACAGACUUCACUUUUGGUAAUUGGUGCUGAAGGGAAGACUAGAGGGAAGACUCUUGAACUUUGAGGUAGAAAUAGGUAAACUGUCUUCUCUAAGAAGCUUCUUUAAGAUUAGCCGACUGGAUUGCAAAGAGGUGGAGACAAGGGGUGUUGCAGAAAUUUCUUUGGCUAUAUUGUAGGAAAGAGUUCUUAUGUUGAAUGUGAGAGAGCUGAAAAUAAAACUGGAAGCUGGGAAAGCAUGACUGUCAGCUGGCAGUGUAAAAUUUGCUUUACUUAGUAUACAGGAUCUGUCUGUUUUGUAGGUUUCACAUGAAGGGUUGAAUUUCAAAGACAAAAGGCAGUGCUUGUCUAGUGUUUAAGAUCUGUGUCCAGCAAAGGCCUAAU
Long non-coding RNA from Catharus ustulatus (Swainson's thrush), 753 nucleotides. RefSeq lists it as uncharacterized. The record is from RefSeq and is a predicted model, not a curated record. The transcript has 3 exons. NCBI's taxonomy places the organism in Eukaryota, Metazoa, Chordata, Aves, Passeriformes, Turdidae.